GGAAGAGCCCAGCACCGAAGCCUGCGGCAGGUUUGCUGUUAGGCAAUGUGGUGUGCGGGUCGGCUGUCUGCGGGAUCGUCACUCCACUCGAAGUCCAGCAUUGAGUAUGGUUAUCACUGGAUUUGGCCCAUAGAGGGUGAGAGGCCCGUACGGGUGGAGGUUCAGACAUGUGAGACGGUUCACCAGGUCGACCUCAGAGUCGGGUUGUUUGAGAUUGCAGCCCAAAGUGGGUGGUAAACUCCAUCCAAGGCUAAAUACAGGCAUGAGUCCGAUAGCGAACAAGUACCGUGAGGGAAAGUUGAAAAGUACUCUGAAGAGAGAGUAAACAGCACGUGAAGCCGCAUACAGGUAAACGGGUGGCGUCAAGCUGCGAGCCUCGAGGAUUCAGCUGACUGGGUUGUAGUGUGCGCGCCUGGUGCGUCGAGUGGCCGGAGUAAGUUGGGGUAGUUCGUUCCUAUGCUGGGAAUGAGGUGCGGUUGGUGUGUGCAUGCAUGCCAACUGUCACUAUGCGUGCCGGGUGGGUGCCGGUGCAUGCUACCUAUCUGUGGGGCCGUCUGGUCAGUGCACUUCCUUGAUGGUGAACACCACGACCGGUGGAAUUGUCAGUCUGCUAUGGUCAAGUUGUGUUUCUUCCCUCCUGGUAGCCCGUGUUGUCCGCCCCGCGCAAGCGUGGAAGGCAGGCGGGUCAGGAGGACACGAUCGCAGGUGGUUUGGAUGGACGGCGCGUUGGUGCCUCGGUGCUGUCGCGUGUUAUCGUGCAUCCACUACUGUGAGCGAGUGUCAAGCCUACUGUGACUGGGUUUGGCGUCUCGGCGGACCAUGGUGGUGAAAGUGACUGUACAAGGCAUCGGAGUUGUCCACCUCAUUACUACGGUAUCAGGUACGCGCGUUACAGGCGUCACUGAUUGGGGUCAGCGUCACUGUCUGUGGGCACUGGAUCUGAUUGUCGUGUUGCCUGCGCAAAGUAGGUCCGGCAGUGGUUGCGGGUGCCUUGCAGUAUGCAGUGUGCGCUCUCCUCAUGUGCCUAUUGGUACCGGGGGUGAAAUAGUCUGUGGUGCUGUGGUAGACGAGCUACCCGACCCGUCUUGAAACACGGACCAAGGAGUUUAACAUGUCUGCGAGUCAAAGGGUCCUACGAAACCCAGAGGCGCAGUGAAAGUGAACCUCGUGUUACACGGAUGCACACUUACGCGGUGUAGCACGAUGUGGUGAGAUCCCACCGUUUGCCGCUGUAGUCAGGUGUUUGUUACCAGGCCAAGGGCGGUGGGCGCAUCACCGGCCCGUCCCAUGAUGUGGUCAUAGGUGUUCACUGGUGCGGUUGUUGUCGUCUCGGCGGCGGCUACUACACUUUUGAACGGUCUGUGCGUCAUCGGGGCGGAGCAUGAGCAGGCAUGUUGAGACCCGAAAGAUGGUGAACUAUGCUCGCGUAGGUUGAAGCCAGAGGAAACUCUGGUGGAGGACCGUA
Molecule: ribosomal RNA, 1465 nt
Filed under: Valipora campylancristrota
Lineage: Eukaryota; Metazoa; Platyhelminthes; Cestoda; Cyclophyllidea; Gryporhynchidae
Description: LSU rRNA
Rfam family: Eukaryotic large subunit ribosomal RNA
Source: RNAcentral